UAUGAGGUGGUCGAGUAAGUCGGUAGAUUGUAAAUCUAUGAAUGAGUAUAUUAUACUUUCUCAUAA
RNAcentral lists this transfer RNA (66 nucleotides) under Bathyteuthis abyssicola (deepsea squid). RNAcentral describes it as "tRNA-Tyr". Lineage: Eukaryota; Metazoa; Mollusca; Cephalopoda; Oegopsida; Bathyteuthidae. The record is from RNAcentral.